UCGAGCGAGUCUGCCUUGAGAUCGGAGUGCUUGCACUCUGUGAAACAGUAUAGGGUUAGCGGCGGACNNNNNNNNAACACGUGGGUAACCUGCCCAAGAGAUCGGGAUAACACCUGGAAACAGAUGCUAAUACCGGAUAAUAACAGAUGAUGCCUAUCAACUGUUUAAAAGAUGGUUCUGCUAUCACUCUUGGAUGGACCUGCGGUGCAUUAGCUAGUUGGUAGGGUAACGGCCUACCAAGGCGAUGAUGCAUAGCCGAGUUGAGAGACUGAUCGGCCACAUUGGGACUGAGACACGGCCCAAACUCCUACGGGAGGCAGCAGUAGGGAAUCUUCCACAAUGGACGCAAGUCUGAUGGAGCAACGCCGCGUGAGUGAAGAAGGGUUUCGGCUCGUAAAGCUCUGUUGUUGGUGAAGAAGGACAGGGGUAGUAACUGACCUUUGUUUGACGGUAAUCAAUUAGAAAGUCACGGCUAACUACGUGCCAGCAGCCGCGGUAAUACGUAGGUGGCAAGCGUUGUCCGGAUUUAUUGGGCGUAAAGCGAGUGCAGGCGGUUCGAUAAGUCUGAUGUGAAAGCCUUCGGCUCAACCGGAGAAUUGCAUCAGAAACUGUCGAGCUUGAGUACAGAAGAGGAGAGUGGAACUCCAUGUGUAGCGGUGAAAUGCGUAG
Molecule: ribosomal RNA, 669 nt
Filed under: uncultured bacterium
Lineage: Bacteria
Description: bacterial SSU rRNA
Rfam family: Bacterial small subunit ribosomal RNA
Source: RNAcentral